Long non-coding RNA from Nicrophorus vespilloides, 376 nucleotides. RefSeq lists it as uncharacterized. The record is from RefSeq and is a predicted model, not a curated record. The transcript has 2 exons. NCBI's taxonomy places the organism in Eukaryota, Metazoa, Arthropoda, Insecta, Coleoptera, Silphidae.
GCUGCGAUCAUCUGGGAAUCGAUCACGCCGCAAUGGAACUAUCGAUGGGAAUGUCCGACGAUUUCGAGCACGCUAUCGAUUUGGGAAGCAGCAAUGUUCGUGUGGGAAGCUCGAUCUUCGGCCACAGGAACUACAACGACAAAUGAAUUAUAUGUAAUAAACGUUGUACAUAACUGUUGAAUUCGUUUGUUUCCAAUUCCUUGAUUAUUUUGGGUGAUGAUUGGAGGAAAGAAAAGAUUGAUUUUGUAAUAAAAUUAAUGAUUUAUUUGAAAAUAGAGGCGCCGCGUGCUGUUGUUGUUGCGGCGUGACGCUGUAUAACAUUAUAUAUAUGAAGUAUGAUCAACUCUUGCUUCGUGAAAUGUGCUUUUGUUUAGCG